CUCUUGGUCUCACUGACCGUCUUUUGGCCUCUGUGUACCAAUAGGACUGCACGUGUCCUUCCUCCCUUUCUGGGAUGAUCUCCCCAGAGUCCCUCCCGCCGACAGCCCGCCGCGGGAUGUGAGGGAACGGCACCCUCCAGCUAGGGCCCGGCUGCCCUACCAGCCUCUUCCCUCCUGGAGGAUGGAGUGGACAGUGGUGAGGCCAGGAGAGACAGACGUCGACCCAGGACGAUGCUGGAGCAGUCUCUGCCUCUUCCUAGCUGAGUGACCUUUGGCUGCUUAGCCACCCGGAGCCUCAACUUUUCAAUCUAUAAAAUGGGAAUGAUACUAAUGUCAUAAGAGAGUUGAAGGUUAGUAAUAUUAACUGCAGACACACACGUACGUCUUCUAUGUGCAUAUUCUUCAGUCCUGAAGCUGUCCAUGUGCUCACCACUCGGUGGGGUGAGACUCCAGGGGCCAUGGGGCUGCUUAGGGCACUGAGCUUGCUCUCCUGAUGUGGGUUUGGACAUAAUCCAGGAGUAGGGAAGAGGUGAGAGACUAGUGCUGGAGUCUCUUCACGGGGCCUCACCCUGGGUGGGUGGUAUAUGUGGCUUUCUGUCUUCUCUGAGCCCUGGCCAGGCCAAACUGGCCCCAGGUGGUAGGACCAAAGGGAUUGUGGGAAUUUAGUUCUGGGUCGGUGGAAUAACGCCAUGCCAUCACCGUUGUGAAGCCUGG
This 714-nucleotide long non-coding RNA is filed under the name Equus caballus (horse). Its description in RNAcentral is "lncRNA (ENSECAG00000050048.1)". The record is from RNAcentral. Lineage: Eukaryota; Metazoa; Chordata; Mammalia; Perissodactyla; Equidae.